Molecule: ribosomal RNA, 327 nt
Filed under: uncultured eukaryote
Lineage: Eukaryota
Description: partial 18S ribosomal RNA
Rfam family: Eukaryotic small subunit ribosomal RNA
Source: RNAcentral
CCCUUAGAUGUUCUGGGCCGCACGCGCGCUACACUGACGGAUUCAACGAGCUUACAACCUUGGCCGAAAGGUCUGGGUAAUCUCCAAAAUCCGUCGUGAUGGGGAUAGAUUAUUGCAAUUAUUAAUAUUCAACGAGGAAUGCCUAGUAAGCGCAAGUCAUCAGCUUGCGUUGAUUACGUCCCUGCCCUUUGUACACACCGCCCGUCGCUCCUACCGAUUGAAUGGUCCGGUGAAGCGUUUGGACUAUGGUUUUCUGAUGGUCCGCCGUUGGAUUACCGUGGGAAGUUCGUUAAACCUUAUCAUUUAGAGGAAGGAGAAGUCGUAACA